Molecule: ribosomal RNA, 292 nt
Filed under: uncultured bacterium
Lineage: Bacteria
Description: partial 16S ribosomal RNA
Rfam family: Bacterial small subunit ribosomal RNA
Source: RNAcentral
GUGUCAGCAGCCGCGGUAAUACGUAGGCAGCAAGCGUUGUUCGGAAUUACUGGGCGUAAAGAGUGCGUAGGUGGUUGGCUAAGUUUGGUGUGAAAUCUCCCGGCUCAACUGGGAGGGUGCGCCGAAAACUGGCUAGCUAGAGUGUGGGAGAGGGACGUGGAAUUCCUGGUGUAGCGGUGAAAUGCGUAGAUAUCAGGAGGAACACCUGCGGUGUAGACGGCGUCCUGGACCAUUACUGACACUGAGGCACGAAAGCGUGGGGAGCAAACAGGAUUAGAAACCCUCGUAGUCC